Molecule: long non-coding RNA, 3130 nt
Organism: Equus caballus (horse)
Lineage: Eukaryota; Metazoa; Chordata; Mammalia; Perissodactyla; Equidae
Source: Ensembl
CAACUCAGGCAGAGCAGAGGCCUCAGGCUUUCAGGGAGUGAACAGGAAGGAAAACACAGGAGCCAGCAGAUACCGAGAAAGCGUCUGCUGAGUUUGAGUCCUGGCCCAGUGGGUUGUGCCAGCAGGAAAGUGACUUCCAUGGGACGAGGCGUAUCACCUGCACCCAAGGCGCAGGGAGCGGUGGUCACAUUUCGUGCACCUAGAGAUUCUUGGGGACCCUCAAGAGCUGCGUCUCCUCUCGUCCUGAUGGCACCUGGUGCAGCAUGACUUCUGGACACAUCCCUGGGAUGCCAGUGAGAUUUCUGCCCAUCAAGGGCGCCCAGACAUGGACCCUCGGCCUUGCUGAUGAACACCUGCCCCCACACUGCCUCUCCUGCCUGAGCUUCUUUCCAAAGACCCAGCGCACACAAGACUUCACUCGUGUGUGUCGUGUGUUGUGCUCGCCUGCACUUGGGCACAUCCCUGUGGAGUGUCAAGCGACCCACUCAAGAGCCGCAUUCCAGCCCUCUCAUGGCAGCUGGCCUGUCCCUGUGUGGGGACUCGGCACGGGACGUGGUAUUUAUAGUCCGCAUCGCGGGUCCCGCCUCACCACGCGUUUCUGCAGCAGGAGAGAGCGAGGCAUCUCCCGUGCUCCCCCUGGACCAGGCCCUGCUCUAGGAGUCCGGGUGGUCCUCAGCACCCAGGGGACGCCUCUAUGAGCUCUGGACACCCACAUGGAUCCCGACCGUGAAUGAAUAAGACUCCUUCCCUUGCCCAUUAGCCCCGGAGUCAGCCUUUGGUCAUCUAAGGCAAGUCCUUGUCCACAGCAAACCAACCAAGCGCCACCUCAGGAAGCCACUUUUUGCAACAGUCUUCACAUGUGGAUGAUACAAAGGCAUUUGAAAAGUCAGGAUCAAUGACCACUCUGCUGCCACGAUUUCCCCCUUUCCGCAUGGAUGUUGACCCUUCAGAAGUUUGGUUGUGUUAGGACGGCGUGCCAUCUCCUCCCUGAGGUCCCGCUGCCCUCCAUCCAGAAGGCGGGCUCCAUGGACACGCCCUAUACUCUGCUUUUCACUGAGAGUGGGCAGCAGGUUCACCCAAGAGCUGUGAGCAAAUCCGCUGAGGGACUGGCUCCCUCCACCCCCAGGGUUCCAUCCUUCAAGCCCACGAUGGCUUUCCUGCUCCAUCCACGGUUGGGCUCGCAGGGUGGGUCAACUGCACUGUGCGGUGGAAUCCUGUCUCCCAGCUGUAACCUGUCACCUGCCCCAUGACCUGCACGGCCUCCCCGAUCUGCUCACAUCAGUGUUUACAGACUGUGUUCUGCUCCACAGAAAGGAGUGUCCCGUGGUUGAAUACUUAUGGAAGCCUCUGGAGAUUAUAGUCCCCUGUAAGAGAUCCAGAAAGCGUACUCAAAAUGCACAGAACUCCCGCCGCACGGAAGCCCGUUCACAUUCGUGUCACCCCACACGUCCUGGGGGUCUUUGGACUGGAGCCAUCUUGCCCGUCUGCCCCAAGAGGGUGCCUCUCUGCCCACCGCGCCUCCCUCUCUGGCCCUGCUCUUCCAGCCUGAAAAGUCAGCCCACACCUCUUUCCCCAUAAAUCUUCCCCUCCUUUCACUGCCGACCGUGCACUCCCUCACAUUCCCUCAGCUCUCAAGGUCCCUGUAACACGAUGUACCAUCCGAUCUGAGAUGCAUGUUUUAUGGACGUUGGGCCAAGAGUCCUUUGAAAGUGGGAGUCACGUUCUGUUCCUUCCCUGUGCCUGGACCAGCACGGAGCAGGCACAGACCGGCCAGCACUCCUCAGCUGCUGGACCUUUUCCCAAUGCUUAGUCGCUCGGCGUCCCUCCUCCUGGAUGGCUUGGCUGGGUUUGCUCAUUAGUGCCUCUACCAGGGAUGAAGGGCGGGGGAUGAAAGGCAGAGCUGGCGCCCUGUGUCAUUAGCCAACUCCUAACAUGGUGCAGGGGUUUGCUUGGCCAAAGGGAAUUGUUUGUAUAUUUCUGUAUUUGAAGAGCCGAAGGAGAAAUUUCCUCUCCAGUGUGUGUCUGUGUGUCUGUCUGUGUCUGUGUAUAUGUGUGUCUCUGUCUGUAUAUCUACAGAUGUAUGUAUGUCUAUGUUAUGUCUGUAUACGUGUCUGCGUACAUGUCUAUGUAAGUGUGUACGUAUGUCUGCACAUGUCCAUGUGUGUCUCUGGAUAUUUGUGUGUGUCUGUUAUGUCUGUGUAUGUGUGUCUCUGUCUGUGUCUGUGUGUCUCUGAAUGACUCUGUGUAUGUAUGUUUAUGGAUGCAUGUUGUAUAUGUCUCUAGGCUUCUUUGUGUGUCUGUAUAUGUGUGUGUGUUUGUAGAUGUGUGUGUGCAUGGAUGUGGUGUCUACACUCAUGUGAACCCAGGGCACCCACAGUUGGUCCAGCCUACUCUCUGACACAGGACACCUGAGUCUUGCAGGCAUCCUGAGUGUCCUCAGUGAUGGCCAUGUCGUCGCAGCUUCCCCAUCCUCCCGGCCUCUGUCCCCUGGGUUUUCCACUGCACCACGGUGUCCAGACCCUGGAGCAGUAGGACACUGAGUUUCAACAUGUCCUCCAACUGCAGCCCACCGCUUGCAGCCUGGAGGGGACAGCCCAGCUGAGUUGCAUCUCUGCAUGUCCCAGGAACCCGGCCUGGCUCCAGAGCCAGCCCUGCCAGUUCUGUGGGGAGAUGCCUCUAGAAAUGUCACAACCAGCAUGUCACUGGCUUCUCCACCUCCUUUGCUUUCUAGACCAAAUGAUGACCAGACGUGGGCCUGGGCCACUCAGCUCUUCAGAGGCUCUGGGCCUUGCCCGCACCAAUUCACCGAGUGGGAAGCCCUGGAGGGGUGGCCCUCAGUGCCCACACCACAUCGGUCCACGAUGGAAGCUUUACCUGCUCGGCCAUCCCUUGGCGUGGCGACUUUCAUUUCUUGCAAAUGAUGAUGAUCUCUUCUUUCUUUCCCUGGAGACCUCAAACAUUCCUCUUUACAUUUGAAGUUCCCAAAUGAAUAUUUUUAAAAUGUAUUCUGCUGUGAAUUUGCCUUGUAAAUAGGGCCGGCUACCUCAUUUGCAGGACUCAGUGCAUUUUAAAAUGUGGGACCCUUGUUCAAAAGGCAGGAAAACAGCACUUAAUGAUACCAAAAUAUAAA